This 282-nucleotide ribosomal RNA is filed under the name uncultured bacterium. RNAcentral describes it as "partial 16S ribosomal RNA". It matches the Rfam family "Bacterial small subunit ribosomal RNA", at positions 30 to 311 of the family's 1533-position model. The record is from RNAcentral.
AUUGAACGCUGGCGGCAUGCCUUACACAUGCAAGUCGAACGGCAGCACGGGAGCAAUCCUGGUGGCGAGUGGCGAACGGGUGAGUAAUAUAUCGGAACGUGGCCCAGUCUGGGGGAUAACGUAGCGAAAGCUACGCUAAUACCGCAUACUAUCUAUGGAUGAAAGCGGGGGAUCGCAAGACCUCGCGCGAUUGGAGCGGCCGAUAUCAGAUUAGGUAGUUGGUGAGGUAAAGGCUCACCAAGCCGACGAUCUGUAGCUGGUCUGAGAGGACGGACCAGCCAC